AAGAGAUUCCUGAGACCUGAUUC
This 23-nucleotide microRNA is filed under the name Caenorhabditis briggsae. RNAcentral describes it as "Cbr-Mir-7591-v2_5p* (star (passenger))". The record is from RNAcentral. Lineage: Eukaryota; Metazoa; Nematoda; Chromadorea; Rhabditida; Rhabditidae.